UUCGCAAUGCCCGAAAGGGUGACGAAGCGACGCCGCGUGAGCGAAGAAGGCCCUAGGGUUGUAAAGCUCUGUCGGGGGUUAUGAAAUGUAGAUCGGUUAAUACCCGGUUUAUUUGACAAAGGCCCCAAAGGAAGCCACGGCUAACUCUGUGCCAGCAGCCGCGGUAAUACAGAGGUGGCAAGCGUUGUUCGGUAUUAUUGGGCGUAAAGAGCACGUAGGUGGUUUUGUAAGUCAGAUGUGAAAGCCUUCCGUUCAAAGGAAGAACGGCAUCUGAAACUGCAGAUCUUGAGUGUAGGAGGGGAGAGUGGAACUUCUGGUGGAGCGGUGAAAUGCGUAGAUAUCAGAAGGAACGUCGGCGGCGAAAGCGACUCUCUGGCCUAUUACUGACACUGAGGUGCGAAAGUUAGGGUAGCGAACGGGAUUAGAUACCCCGGUAGUCCUAACUGUAAACGAUGGGCACUAAGUAGAGGGGUUUU
Molecule: ribosomal RNA, 476 nt
Filed under: uncultured anaerobic ammonium-oxidizing bacterium
Lineage: Bacteria
Description: bacterial SSU rRNA
Rfam family: Bacterial small subunit ribosomal RNA
Source: RNAcentral